ACGUGGGACGUAAAAGCGCAUGCGAGGUUGGUUUUAGUUAAGUCAAGAUGUAGAAAACGGCCCGGGCUACCAAACCGUACGGAAAAUAGCUAUUUAGAAAACGUGGCAGACUAGAGUACUGUAGGAGGGGGUAGAAUUUCAGGUGUAGCGGUGAAAAUGCGUAGAGAUCUGAAGGAAUACCGGUGGCGAAGGCGGCCCCUGGACAGAUACUGACACUCAGAUGCGAAAGCGUGGGGAGCAAACAGGAUUAGAUACCCUGGUAG
RNAcentral lists this ribosomal RNA (263 nucleotides) under uncultured bacterium. Its description in RNAcentral is "partial 16S ribosomal RNA". It matches the Rfam family "Bacterial small subunit ribosomal RNA", at positions 562 to 793 of the family's 1533-position model. The record is from RNAcentral.